Molecule: long non-coding RNA, 274 nt
Filed under: Ictidomys tridecemlineatus (thirteen-lined ground squirrel)
Lineage: Eukaryota; Metazoa; Chordata; Mammalia; Rodentia; Sciuridae
Description: lncRNA (ENSSTOG00000029959.1)
Source: RNAcentral
UUUGCCUGGGGUGGGGGGCACUGUUUGUUCAGGAUUGUGAAGGUCACAUGGGAUGCUGUGGGAGGAGGUGAGGGAGAUUUUCUAAGCAUUAAGGGAGUUCGUGGAAAUCUGACCUUGAAGAAUUUUUUUUCAGCCACACAGCAAGGCCUUUACCUGAUCCAGGGGCAGGAAUCUGAGGGUGCAUGAACUAGAUGAUGUAUACCAGUCCUAAAACUGUGCCAGGUGACAUACCUGAAAAGGAACUGUUGAUGCUGCCUGGAACUGAAAUGUCUUC